RNAcentral lists this long non-coding RNA (1367 nucleotides) under Olea europaea subsp. europaea. Lineage: Eukaryota; Viridiplantae; Streptophyta; Magnoliopsida; Lamiales; Oleaceae. The record is from RNAcentral.
UGACCCACAACUUUUUCUUACUUUUAACCAUACAUUAUCCAAAAAAAAAAAAAAAAUCAUUUUGACCAAAUCUUUUCCCAAAAAAAUCUACAUUACCCUCAAGAUUACAGUUUUCAAUCUAUAAGUAUAUCCCCCUAAAACCGCCAUGCUGAAGGACAGGACAGACGAGUUCUCUGCCCAAGUAGCUCGAGGAGGACACUCCUGUGCAGCAACACUUUCAUCUCGUUAGCUUUACAACUUCGAGUUUAAUUUUUAACACAAUUGGAUUUACAUAACCUGUUUGUUAGGAAACAUCAAAUGUGUCUCCAAACUCUACAUAGGACCCGACCGGGCUGCCACCCCACACAAAAUUGCUGUGUCACCACAAGAAUUGAGCUGUUUGAUCUUUUGUUCCAGAACUAUAGUCCUUCAAGAGCCAUUUGUUCUUCAAUUUUGUGCACAAAUCGAGACUCAUAGGACCACCAGGGGUCACUGAUAAUUUCCUACCAGUCACAAAAUUUCCACUCACACCAGAAGUACUUAUAAACAUCGUCAUUAAAACACAUACAAAUCCCUUUUGUUCAGGAAACUGACCUGAAGAAACAUCUUUCAUUAUGCAAACAAAUUCAAUUCCUAACACCAUUUUAAAAGAAGAAGAAGCAAUAAAUGCUGAUAAUGUAAAUGUCAAACAAGAACCACAAGAACUAGUAUAAUUUUCAGGAACUAACCAAAUGUUGUUCAAUCCUCUGCAGACAUACCUUAAUGUAAGAACUGACUUGAUACUACAGUCUUCCAAGUUGAAGAUCCACAUAACGGGUUGGCCAGCGCACUAUUUUACUAGUUUUUUCAGGGUUACCUCACAAUCAACCAUCCAUAAGUUCUUUUGCAAGCCAAGCCAGGAGCAAUCCCAGUCUAGUCCAUCCAAGUAAUCAUCAAUGAUGUAAAUUUCGCUGGCCUUGCAUUCUGGAUCAAAUAUUUGACUUCUGGCUAUUUUUUGCCAGAAGGAGAUAAGUCAUGACAAACAAAAUCACACAUCUCAACUUUGAUCUCGAGUCCAGUCUGUUCUCUUGUUAAAUUAGGUUGUAUAUUCAAUUCCUCGAAUAUCUUUAUGCAGUAAACAAAUCUAAGAUUACAUAAGAUGUAUGAAACAGGCAGAAUUUUGCUUCUCAAAUUUCAUGAGUCUGAGCAGCCACGACUUCUUUCCAAGUAAAAAUGUUAGUCUGUACACCUCACUUUUUUGUAUUUGCAGGAUCCUUUUCUCAAGCAUCAGUACAUCUUGAGUUCACUGCCUCGUGGACAUAAAUUCCAAUCCAUGGAUGCCAGCUAAGUCAUUUCUCAAUUGAUGUGCAAUUUUACGCGCUGCAGAAAAAUAUUCCAAUGAAUUCAUG